Molecule: ribosomal RNA, 253 nt
Filed under: uncultured bacterium
Lineage: Bacteria
Description: partial 16S ribosomal RNA
Rfam family: Bacterial small subunit ribosomal RNA
Source: RNAcentral
UACGGAGGGGGCUAGCGUUGUUCGGAAUUACUGGGCGUAAAGCGCACGUAGGCGGCUUUGCAAGUUAGAGGUGAAAGCCCGGGGCUCAACCCCGGAAUUGCCUUUAAAACUGCAUCGCUAGAAUUGUGGAGAGGUAAGUGGAAUUCCGAGUGUAGAGGUGAAAUUCGUAGAUAUUCGGAAGAACACCAGUGGCGAAGGCGGCUCACUGGCCCGUUACCGACGCUCAGGCGCGACAGCGUGGGGAGCAAACAGG